RNAcentral lists this ribosomal RNA (430 nucleotides) under uncultured bacterium. RNAcentral's name for it is "bacterial SSU rRNA". It matches the Rfam family "Bacterial small subunit ribosomal RNA", at positions 917 to 1350 of the family's 1533-position model. The record is from RNAcentral.
GGGCCCGCACAAGCGGUGGAGCAUGUGGUUUAAUUCGAUGAUACGCGAGGAACCUUACCAGGGCUUAAAUGUAAGUUGCAUUAGUUAGAGAUAGCUAUUUCUUCGGACCACUUACAAGGUGCUGCAUGGUUGUCGUCAGCUCGUGCCGUGAGGUGUCAGGUUAAGUCCUAUAACGAGCGCAACCCCUGUUGUUAGUUGCCAGCGAGUCAUGUCGGGAACUCUAACAAGACUGCCGGUGCAAACCGUGAGGAAGGUGGGGAUGACGUCAAACCAUCACGGCCCUUACGUCCUGGGCUACACACGUGCUACAAUGGUCGGUACAGAGAGCAGCCACUACGCGAGUAGGAGCGAAUCUUCAAAGCCGAUCACAGUUCGGAUCGGGGUCUGCAACUCGGCCCCGUGAAGCUGGAAUCGCUAGUAAUCGGAUAUC